Molecule: unclassified non-coding RNA, 331 nt
Filed under: soil metagenome
Description: partial contains 5.8S ribosomal RNA, internal transcribed spacer 2, and large subunit ribosomal RNA
Rfam family: 5.8S ribosomal RNA (bases 1-120)
Source: RNAcentral
GAUGAAGAACGUAGUGAAAUGCGAUAAGUAAUGUGAAUUGCAGAAUUCAGUGAAUCAUCGAAUCUUUGAACGCACAUUGCGCCCGCUAGUAUUCUGGCGGGCAUGCCUGUUCGAGCGUCAUUUCAACCAUCAAGCCCUGUUUAGGCUUGUGUUGGGGCCCUGCGGCUGCCGCAGCCCCCUAAAUGCAGUGGCGGGCUCGUUGUCACUCCGAGCGCAGUAGCGUAUCUCGCUCUGGGCGUGGCGGCGGGUGCUAGCCGUGAAACACCCACUAAGGUUGACCUCGGAUCAGGUAGGAAUACCCGCUGAACUUAAGCAUAUCAAAAGCGGAGGA